AUUGCUUCUCGGCCUUUUGGCUAAGAUCAAGUGGAGAAUGCAUUAUAUUGAGGUAAAUCAUGUUCUAAAAAGCUGGAAAAAUUCACACAAAAAUGCUGAUGAAUUUUCAUGAAGAUUUUUUUUUUCUUAACCCAAAUUGCAAACUGCUGUGGAAAUGUGGAGAAUUGAA
RNAcentral lists this small nuclear RNA (169 nucleotides) under Podarcis muralis (Common wall lizard). Its description in RNAcentral is "U2 spliceosomal RNA (ENSPMRG00000012671.1)". It matches the Rfam family "U2 spliceosomal RNA". From Rfam's summary of the family: U2 is a small nuclear RNA (snRNA) component of the spliceosome (involved in pre-mRNA splicing). Complementary binding between U2 snRNA (in an area lying towards the 5' end but 3' to hairpin I) and the branchpoint sequence (BPS) of the intron results the bulging out of an unpaired adenosine, on the BPS, which initiates a nucleophilic attack at the intronic 5' splice site, thus starting the first of two transesterification reactions that mediate splicing. The record is from RNAcentral. Lineage: Eukaryota; Metazoa; Chordata; Lepidosauria; Squamata; Lacertidae.